AUUGUGCCACCCCCACCUCCCCAAGACCCUCAGGACUUUUGGCGCGGUACUUCUCCUGUCUGCCUAUCCAGGCCGCAGGGCCCGCGUGCCCUUGGGGAAGGGGCGUGUGUGCCGUUGGGAUCCGGCCUGUGCGCCGCAAGCAACGGGCUUUGCGCCCUUGCCUUAUGGACAAUGGACGGCAUACGUGCCCUUAUGAUACG
This 200-nucleotide long non-coding RNA is filed under the name Chlamydomonas reinhardtii. RNAcentral's name for it is "long non-coding RNA (CREI_LNC000502)". Lineage: Eukaryota; Viridiplantae; Chlorophyta; Chlorophyceae; Chlamydomonadales; Chlamydomonadaceae. The record is from RNAcentral.